UACAGGGGGUGCAAACGUUGCUCGGAAUCAUUGGGCGUAAAGCGCACGUAGGCGGUUCGUUAUGUCGGAUGUGAAAGCCCUUGGCUUAACCGAGGAAGUGCAUCCGAAACUGGCGAGCUAGAGUACUAAAGAGGAUCGCGGAAUUCCCGGUGUAGCGGUGAAAUGCGCAGAUAUCAGGAGGAACACCGGUGGCGAAGGCGGGUCUCUGGGCCGAUAUUGACGCUGAGGAGCGAAAAGCGUGGGGGAGCGAACAGG
This 255-nucleotide ribosomal RNA is filed under the name uncultured bacterium. Its description in RNAcentral is "partial 16S ribosomal RNA". It matches the Rfam family "Bacterial small subunit ribosomal RNA", at positions 524 to 776 of the family's 1533-position model. The record is from RNAcentral.